CUGAGUAGAGCGGCGGACGGGUGAGUAACGCGUAGGAAUCUACCUGGUAGUGGGGGACAACUUGGGGAAACUCAAGCUAAUACCGCAUACGCCCUAUGGGGGAAAGCGGGGGACCUUCGGGCCUCGCGCUAUCAGAUGAGCCUGCGUAGGAUUAGCUAGUUGGUGAGGUAAAGGCUCACCAAGGCGACGAUCCUUAGCUGGUCUGAGAGGAUGAUCAGCCACACUGGGACUGAGACACGGCCCAGACUCCUACGGGAGGCAGCAGUGGGGAAUAUUGCGCAAUGGGGGCAACCCUGACGCAGCCAUGCCGCGUGUGUGAAGAAGGCCUUCGGGUUGUAAAGCACUUUAAGUGGGGAGAAAGGCUCGUUGGUUAAUAGCCAGCGGGAUUGAUGUUACCCACAGAAUAAGCACCGGCUAACUCCGUGCCAGCAGCCGCGGUAAUACGGAGGGUGCGAGCGUUAAUCGGAAUUACUGGGCGUAAAGCGCGCGUAGGCGGUUUGUUAAGUCAGCUGUGAAAGCCCCGGGCUCAACCUGGGAACUGCAGUUGAUACUGACCGACUAGAGUACGAGAGAGGGAGGUAGAAUUCCAUGUGUAGCGGUGAAAUGCGUAGAUAUAUGGAGGAAUACCGGUGGCGAAGGCGGCCUCCUGGCUCGAUACUGACGCUGAGGUGCGAAAGCGUGGGGAUCAAACAGGAUUAGAUACCCUGUAGUCCACGCUGUAAACGAUGUCUACUAGCCGUUGGGAGACUUGAUUUCUUAGUGGCGCAGCUAACGCUUUAGGUAGACCGCCUGGGGAGUACGGCCGCAAGGUUAAAACUCAAAUGAAUUGACGGGGGCCCGCACAAGCGGUGGAGCAUGUGGUUUAAUUCGAUGCAACGCGAAGAACCUUACCAGGUCUUGACAUCCA
Molecule: ribosomal RNA, 907 nt
Filed under: uncultured bacterium
Lineage: Bacteria
Description: bacterial SSU rRNA
Rfam family: Bacterial small subunit ribosomal RNA
Source: RNAcentral